This is a non-coding RNA of Vicia faba (fava bean), 255 nucleotides long. The record is from the annotation of a GenBank genome assembly. Lineage: Eukaryota; Viridiplantae; Streptophyta; Magnoliopsida; Fabales; Fabaceae.
AUGAUUUGUUAUCCGCCUCCUUUCUUCGGCCUCGAUUCACACAAACAGAGAUACGAUACAACAAAAGAGAGUACUGAAGAUUACCUGCCGGAAAACACUCUGGUGCGCCUUCAAUCGACGGUGCUGAGAAGGAACAAGAAAAAGAUCUUCAAUGAAAAUUCGAGAAACAUUGAAGCUGGCGAUGAAGAGAAAAUGUUGAAAUUGUCGUUGCAGUUCUGCGAAUCUGUUGCAGGAUCGCUAUGCUUCACCUUUUGA